Molecule: small RNA, 584 nt
Filed under: Mus musculus (house mouse)
Lineage: Eukaryota; Metazoa; Chordata; Mammalia; Rodentia; Muridae
Source: RNAcentral
AUCUCUUGGUACAUGAGUGGCUACCACACUGGCUACUAUAUGGGUUUCAGACAAAAUAAAAAAGAAGGAAAGUGCUCACAUACAAAUUAAGAAUGGAAAGUUGGUGACAAGUGUUCUGCUGUUUGGUCAGAAGACGGCUGCAUUUACCCAGCUACUAUUACGUCCAUUGACUUUAAGAGAGAAACCUGUGUCGUGGUUUAUACUGGAUAUGGAAACAGAGAGGAGCAAAACUUAUCUGACCUACUUUCCCCGACCUGUGAAGUAGCUAAUAGUACAGAACAGAACACUCAGGAGAAUGAAAGUCAAGUUUCCACAGACGACAGUGAACACUCCUCCAGAUCGCUCAGAAGUAAAGCACACAGCAAGUCCAAAGCUGCUCCGUGGACCUCAUUUCUUCCUCCACCACCCCCAAUGCCAGGGUCAGGAUUAGGACCAGGAAAGCCAGGUCUAAAAUUCAACGGCCCGCCGCCGCCGCCUCCACUACCCCCUCCCCCCUUCCUGCCGUGCUGGAUGCCCCCGUUCCCUUCAGGACCACCAAUAAUCCCGCCACCCCCUCCCAUCUCUCCCGACUGUCUGGAUGACAC